RNAcentral lists this long non-coding RNA (445 nucleotides) under Carica papaya (papaya). Its description in RNAcentral is "long non-coding RNA (CPAP_LNC004116)". The record is from RNAcentral. Lineage: Eukaryota; Viridiplantae; Streptophyta; Magnoliopsida; Brassicales; Caricaceae.
GAAAGAUUCAUACGUCUCUUUUCGAAUCAAGCCUUAUGCUUAUUACAUUCUUUUUUCACAUGACCUUUCUUCCCACAAAAGUAGCAACUCAGGGUAAAUUUUCUAUCACGACUCUGGUUAUUCUCCCUAGUUCUACUCUGUUUCUUUGGUGGAAUGUUCUUUGCUUUUCUGGAUUUGCCUUUAUUCUUCAUAGCUCCAUGAGUAACUACAAGGGCAAAGUUAUGUCCAUCUUGCUUUAAUCUCAUUUCCUCUUCAAUACACUUGCUAGUAAGCUCAUUUAUAUUCCACUGUUAAUCAUUAGUGUUAUAGUGAAUUUUGAAUGGAGCAAACUGUGUAGGAAGUAAGUUAAGGACAAAUUAAACUAAGAAUGACUCAUCCAUGUUCAUGCCCAAUGCCUUAAGUUUUGCAGCCUUUUCAGCCAUGUUCAAAAUGUGUUGUUUAAUUU